This 507-nucleotide ribosomal RNA is filed under the name uncultured bacterium. Its description in RNAcentral is "SSU rRNA". It matches the Rfam family "Bacterial small subunit ribosomal RNA", at positions 26 to 521 of the family's 1533-position model. The record is from RNAcentral.
AGGACGAACGCUGGCGGCGCGCUUAACACAUGCAAGUCGAGCGAGAACUAGUCCUUCGGGACUAGGGACAGCGGCGAACGGGUGAGUAACACGUGAGUAAUCCACCCUCGGUACCGGAAUAGCCCGGGGAAACUCGGAUUAAUGCCGGAUGGCCCAUUUGCUCUUCGGAGCUGAAUGGAAAAGAUAGCUUCGGCCUUCGACCGGGGGACAGCUCGCGGCGGAUUAGCUUGUUGGCGGGGUAACGCCCACCAAGGCGACGAUCCGUAGCUGGUCUGAGAGGACGAUCAGCCACACUGGGACUGAGACACGGCCCAGACUCCUACGGGAGGCAGCAGUGGGGAAUCUUGCGCAAUGGGCGAAAGCCUGACGCAGCGACGCCGCGUGAGGGAAGAAGGCCUUCGGGUUGUAAACCUCUUUCAGGAGGGACGAAGCCACUCGGGUUAAUAGCCCAGAGGGUGACGGUACCUCCAGAAGAAGCCCGGCUAACUACGUGCCAGCAGCCGCGGU